GAGGUAGAGAAUAAAAUUCCAACACAAUGUCUCUCUUGAGAGGUGCUAAUCCAGCUAAAGACAGCCAGAUAGCAGAAUCUCACCAGUGGUAUUCGCUGCCAGAAUUAUAUGCAUUGAUUGAGAAUUUUAAUAAGGACAGUAAGAAAUCAAAUGUCCUAAAAACUCAUAGCAUUUCAUUUAAAGAAGCACAGAAACUACUUACUAAAAGCCUGAAUGCCAUGUUAUUCAUCAGCAGAACUGGUGUGAGAAGAGAAGACCCCCAGCCAGUCUUCAUGUGUACCACAGCUAAAAAGGAGCAGGAGAAGCCUCCAUGCAUGGCUGAGCUCCUGCACUGCAGCUUGCUGAAGGGCUUGCACUCCCCAGCACCUUGGUUUCCCAGGUCCCAAAAGAGACUGACUGAGGAUGGUAUCCCACUGCCCAUGCACCCUUUUCCUUACAAUGUUAUACAGGAUGGCUUAGAUGCUUUGUCAUGGGCUACCCCCGAGAAGACUCAGACCCCUCAGGUAUUAGACAGAUCUCACCUGCUGAAGCAAGUCUUUGAAGAUAAAAUUUCCAGAUACUUCUUAGUGGACCCAGAAAAACAAUUCAUGGAUCUAAGGGACCUAGAAUGGAGAUAUUUUAAGGGGCUGGCAAAGUGGAAGCACACAACUGUGGUUUCAUUCGUGGACAUAAAAUACAACAGUGAGAAGAGAUUUGUAAAGCGCCGGGACAUGUCUGAUGUUAUUUCUGUCCCUCUAAUACUGGAAUGGUGAAGACCAGUUAGCCAUGCACUGAGCCUGCCCUUGCCCUGGCCUGCAUCCAGUGGACUGUUGAAGACUGUGCAGUUGUGUGAGUGUCUCUGCAACAUACCUCCCCUCCAUCCUCCUGGGCCUCCCGAUUGUGUCAGUUCCUGGAUCCACUCUGCAGAGGCACAGGUGGUCAUAAAGGUCAUUUUACUGAGCUCCAGAAGAUAGAAAGGGAGUGGACAACUGCAGUAAAGGCUCAUCAGACCUCUAUAGUUGGUAAGUUGAAGGGAUCACCACCUUCUAUCAGAACUUGGACUAUCUUCAGGGGAAGCGCAGCUGGAACAUGCCUUAGAACCUUGCAGAGUUAAACCCUGCAGGAGGUCAGGAAGCUCAACUUGGGCCUUGCAGCCUGAAUUCAACUAGAAUCUCAGGGGUCUGCCAUCAGCUAGCUGAGACUAAAUGACUUAGUUCUGCACAUUGCUGUGCACAGUGUCUAUUAUGACAGCAGAGAUAUAGUCUUAAGGAGGCCUUUCAAAUAGUUUUUCUUCUUUCUUUUCCUCAUUCCAUUCUGAAACAUCUUUCUUUUUUCCCCCAUCUUCUUUUUCCCAGUCUCUUGCUCUCCCAUAUUAUUCUUCAUCUCCUUUUCUGUUCCCGUUCCUGCCCUAAUUCAGAUUUCUUCUUUUUUAUUUUUCUUUCUUUCUUUCUUUUCUUUUUAUCUUUCAUUUUUCUUCACUUGAGGGUCACUAGUUUCAAAGGAAAGUGAGUACCUAUUACCAUUAAGUUUGUUUAUACUUGUACUUAUUCUUGCACUCUGUUUUUCCCUCUUAUCUUUAACAGUUUACUAAAGUUUGUGUGGUCAUCCUGUUCCUCUGGCUUCACUUGAAACCUUCUGUAAUUCUUCUACCUAUCUACUUCUCUCUUCCUAACUGUCUAAGUCCCCAUCCUAAAGGGUAAAGUUGUUAUAUUGAAGAGUUUAUUCACAUAAACAUGUUUUGGGCUGCUUCUUGAUUUUGAUUUAAUUCACAUGGAUUAAAGGUGAUAUCUUAAUAACUUUCACAAAUGGUCAGUUUUUAAGCAAUGCUUGAUGCUAUUGUGUUGCUGAUUGUAUCAAUUGGGCUAAAGGACUGUGAUUGAUUUAAUGAGUUCUCCUUUCUGAUAUUAUGAAAAUGAGAGUGUCUAUGAGUCAUUAGAGACUCAAAAGCUAAAGAGCAGCUAUAUCAGGAAGAGCAAAGUAAUAAUCCAGGAAUUGAACCAAGGACAUCCCAACAAAAAUAAAAAUGAGAAAACACUUAAGCAAGACAUAAGACAGAAUUUCAGUUCUCCAACAGCAAACUCUAGGGGAAAUGAGGUGGAAAAGUCUGACAAUCAACCACCAGGACACCCUGAACUCAUAGCACAGGAAGUAACAAAACAGAUCAAUCAGGCUCUAGAAAAAUUCAAAGCAGAAAUAAUUUCCUAGAUAACUAUUGAGAUGGUGAGCACAAUGAAAGGCAUGAUUAGAGACUCUAGAACAGAAACUGACAAAAAAAAAAAUAGAUGAUCUGAGGGCCACAAUAGAGGUUAUGAAAGCCCAGCAUAAGAAAGAAAUGGAAACCAUGAAUGCCCAACAUAAAAAAGAAAUGGAAUCCAUGAAACAGAUUCAAACAGAUAUACAGGAGAUUAAAAUCUCUAUUGAAAGUUUCAAAGCAGUUUAAAUGAAUGUGAAGAUAGAAUUUCAGAUAUAGAACAUAGGAUUGCAGUCAGUGACCCUGAAAAGAGAGGUCUCUUAAAAACAGUAGGGGAUCAUGAGAAAUCAAUCCAACAACCCCUAGAUGAUGCAAAGAAGAAUAACAUAAGACUGAUAGGAAUCCAUGAAGUAGCAGGAGAAAAUACAAAUGACUUAAAAAAACUGUUCAUAGAGUUAAUGACAGAAAACUCCCCAAACAAACCAAAGGAAUUUGACAUACAGAUAAGUGAGGCAUAUGGGACUCCAACUAGCCAUGAUCAAAAAAAAAAAAAAUUAUACCUAGACAUAUAGUAGUCAAGAUCCCAGAAACCCAAUGAAAGAACAAAAUACUACAAGCAGUCAGAGAAAAGAAACAAAUCACAUGCAAAGGAAAGCCCAUCAGAAUCACAGAAGACUUUUCAACACAAAACCUCAGGUCAAGUAGAGCCUGGAGUGAGCUAUUUCAAAUCCUAAAAGAAAACGACCUCCAACUAAGGCUGAUGUAUCCUGCAAAACUCUCUUUCUAAAUGGAUGGGGACAUAAGAUACUUCCAUGACAAAGAAAACCUGAGAAACUUCAUGGAUUCCAAACCAACCCUCCAAACAAUAUCCUAGAAAAAGACAAUGAAGGUUGCAACUCCAUGAGUUGCAAAUCAAUUAGGCAAGGCAAGAAACUAAAGGGAGAGGGGGAAAAUUAAAAACAUCCAACAACAGGACAAUAACAUGACAAUGAUGUCAGUACAUAUCAUUUAUAACCAUUAAUGGCAUUGGCCUCAAUUCACCAAUCAAGAGAAAUAGACUGGCACAAUGGAAUAAGAAGCAAAAUCCAACAAUAUGUUGUAUACAGGAAACACACCUAGUGCAAAAAGUAAGCCAUAGACUGAAAUUGAAAGGAUGGAAAACAGUUCUCCAUGCAACAGGAGCCCCCCCCCCAAAAAAAAACAGGGGUAGCUGUCUUAUUUGCAGACAAAGUAAAUUUCAAACCAAAACCAAUUAAGAGACAAAGAAGGCCACUACAUCCUUGUAAAGGGAACAAUUCAAGAGGAAGAGAUGACAAGUAUAAAUAUAUAUGCACCAAAUAUUAAUGCCCCAGCUAUAUAAAACAAAUAUUAAGUAACAUGAAAAACCAAAUAAGCACUAAUACAAUCGUAGUGGGGGACCUAAAUACCCCACAAUCACAAAUAGACAGAUCAUUUAGACAAAAACUCAAGAACGAAAUUCUAGAACUUAACCAAGCUUUUGAACAUAUGGACUUAAUAGACGUAUAUAGAGUAUUUUGCCCCACAAAAUCAGAAUAUACAUUCUUUUCAGCUGCACAUGGGUCAUUCUUCAAAAUAGACCACGUACUAGCUCAUGGAACAGGUUUAAAUAAAUUCAAAGGAAUCAAAGUUACCCCAUGUAUAUUAUCAGAUAAUAGUGCAAUUCAGCUGGAGAUCAAUGGCAAACAAAACUGAAAGAACUUCACAGACACAUGGAAAUUGAACAACACUCUCCUGAACAAUCAAUGGGUCACAGAGGAAAUUAAAGAAGAAAUUGGACAGUUUUUACAAACAAAUGAUAAUGCCAAUACAACAUAUAGGAAUCUAUGGGACACAAUGAAAGCACUUCUACAUGGAAAAUACAUAGCAGUGAAUGCCCACAAUAGGAAAACCAAGUGAACUCUGACAAACAACCUAAUGAUGAAUCUUAGGCUGGUAGAAAAAGAAGAGCAAGAAAAACCCAAAGCUCGUACAAGGGAGGAAAUUAUAAAGAUUAGAGCAGAAAUCAAUGCAACAGGAACUAAGAAAAUGAUACAAAAAUAAAUGAAUUGAAGAGUUGGUUUUUUGAAAGAAUACAUAAAGUUGAUAAACUUUUAGCCAACCUUGUCAAAAAAAGGAAAAAAAAAAGGCUCAGAUACAUACAUGCAAUUAGGAACAAAAAAGGUGAAGUCACAACAGAUCUAACAGAAAUCCAGAAGAUCAUCAAUAUCUACUUUGAGAACCUGUACACUAAUAAAAUGGAAAACCCAGAAGAAAUGGACAGAUUUCUAGAUACUUAUCAAUUACCAAAGUUGAAUGAAGAAGAUUUAAAAACAAUUGUAAACACCCCAGUUACAAUCAGUGAAAUUGAAAAUGUAAUUACAAGUUAGCCAAUGAAGAAAAGCCCAGCUCCUGAUGGAUUCACUGCUAAUUUUUACAAGACAUUUAGAGAAGAACUACUGCCACUAUGUUUUUUGAAAUUAAAGAUUGCAAACAUACAUGAUAACAAGAAAUGAAGAUACUAAAUACAGAUUUCAAAUAUACAUAUAAAUGACAGCAAAUAAAGGAU
Molecule: long non-coding RNA, 4736 nt
Filed under: Fukomys damarensis (Damara mole-rat)
Lineage: Eukaryota; Metazoa; Chordata; Mammalia; Rodentia; Bathyergidae
Description: lncRNA (ENSFDAG00000032045.1)
Source: RNAcentral